Long non-coding RNA from Caretta caretta (loggerhead turtle), 4373 nucleotides. RefSeq lists it as uncharacterized. NCBI's taxonomy places the organism in Eukaryota, Metazoa, Chordata, Testudines, Cheloniidae. The record is from RefSeq and is a predicted model, not a curated record.
AAUAAAUUUGUUAGUCUCUAAGGUGCCACAAGUACUCCUUUUCUUUUUAUGAAAAUGGAUAGGAAUCCUUCAAUUGACUUCAGUAACCUUGAGAUCUGGUUCUGGCUGAGGAAGUCACAAAAAGGAUCCCUCUGCUGGUUUGAGUCAACAGGGAGGGCUGUUAGUCAGGAACAUAACAUUGGUACCCAGAAGACAACCACGGAUCCAGUGAUAAGUUGCUGUUUGAGGAGGAAAUUUGCAACCAGUGAGCAGAGUUGAGUUUCAGGCAGUACUUUGGGUCAGGGACUAUCUUUCUGUUGUGUUUCUACAGCAUCUAGCACACUGGGGUCCUGGGUGCCACAGUAAUUCAGAUAAUAAUCAUAAUAUUGAAAGGUCAGAAAAGCACUACCUUAGUAUUCAGGCUGCCAUGAGUCUCUAGGUACUUGGACACCCCCCCAUCCUAGAAUUAUCUGAGAGUCAGAAGGCAGUCCAGGGAAGUGGCCUGGUAAAUACAGCUCAUGAAGGAGCUCUGUCUGCAAGUAAAAUCCCAGUCAAGGUAAUGGAACUUCAGAGGCUCUUUUGCUUUAAAGGACAAUUGCCUUUUAGAAGGGUAGAUUGCUGUUCUGAAUGGAGAAGGCAGUUGUGAAAGUACUAACCUCUAUCUCUUGCUAGCCAACAAGGGCCAUGGCUAACUAUUAGCAAGUAGGUCAAGGAGAACUCUAGCAUUUGGAGGAAGCCACUGGCAAGAUUGGCCCAUGUCUCAAGUGGGUAGCCCUACAGUUGAUUAAGAACACCAUUUUUUCCAUUUGAUCCAUUCAGACUCAAUGAGGGGCUGGCCAGGAGGAAGGAAAAAAUUAAAGUCCACUAAGCCCCAGGAAAUUAGCAAACCAGAAUGAGAAGAUGGAAUUGCAUCAGUUCCUGAGAUACUAUCUGCAUUUGGCUGGAGAAACAACUAGGAGGAAAAUACAACAUCCUUCUACUCCCUCACUUCAGGACUGAAAAUAUCACAUCUGAGAGACUUAAACCAACAACAAAACUUCACACUGACCUUGAGUUGGGUUUGCCCAUAAUGAAGAUGUAGCAGAAGCGGAACAGCUCAGACUCUCUGGGAUGGACUCAGCCCUUAGAAUGCGGCGGUUGUUACAGCAUGGUGGAGUGGGUAACCCAGCCUUCCCACUCCUGGGCUCCAUCAGGAAGUCCUCCAUAAGGUCAUCAUACACAGUGACCUCCCCUUUAACUCCCAGCCCUGGGAACAGACAAAAGCAGCUCAGACUCCCAGAACUGCUACAGCAAGGUAUGGGCAGGGAUAAAACACCCAGAACAUCACCAUGCUGGACCUCUACUCCUGUAGGGUGCUGUUUGAAGGCUUCUCUGGCCCCUCCCAUGCUUUAAACUCUAGGAUUUAGAGGCUGUCCCAUUCUUCACGGGGCAGCAUGUGUCCCUUGGAACCAGUGCUCUGCUGAGCUAUCAGAAGUGACUCCUAGAGAGAUGCGGUAGUCAUGCACUUUUGAAACCUGGGAGUGAGGCAGUCUCCUGUCUUGGAUGGCAGCUCCAAAGGUACCAAUGCUAUCAAGGGAUGGAAAUUCUUUGAGGAGAUGGGCAUUUGGGAGUGGGAGUGUGGGACUUUAAGGAUGGGAGUGUUUGAGUAAUUUCAGUUAUAGCACAUUAUCACUGUGUAUUUGAGUUGCUGUCUGGGAACUGACAGGUCUGUUUAUUUUAGUGCAUUUUCUGAAAGUUUUCAAGGGUUCCCAGGAUGGCUGCUCUUUUAUUACAGCUUGUGUUAACCUAAAUAAAAGACACUAGCCUGCUUCUUUGUCAUCAGGUUCCAACACAGGUCAGAACUAACAGGUGCUUUUCAACUCCAAUUAGAAGUGUGUCCCUCUAUGAUGUUCUCUGUUCUACCUGGGAUUCCAGAAGGGAAACUGUGAGAAAUGCACGAUCAAGACUGCACGCUGAAAACUUAGAUUAUGUACUUUAAUGUACUUUAAUGCUUGCUUUUUGUUAUAUCCAUUUCUUUCCUCUUCUUGAGUCAGGGCAUGUUUGAUGGGGUGACUGAUUUUGUUUAGUUAAUUUCUGCAGGCUUGCUUUGCCUUCAAGUGCUUACACGGAGGAACUGUCUUAACUAUUGCACUUCAGUAUUCACAGUCUCUUCUGGAUGGCUCUGCCUUUUUUUCCCCUUUGCUAUCCACAGUAACUUAUCUUUCAUCUACAACUAUCUUCUACACUGUACACUUCAGACCCUCCUGUGCUUGGCAUGCUCACCUCUCUAAAAAUAUCAUCCAUGAACUUUUUAUUCUUCUUAACGUUGUGUAGCAAGGAAAGUUGGCUCUCAAGAUCAGCAAUCUUGCUUCUAGCUGCUCAGGAAAUAAAUGCACAUACAUACAUUCCCUUGGAUGCCGGCCCCAUAUCUACCAUUCCUCUGAUUCACAGUCCUUCAUACCCUACACAAAAGAAAGAAAUAAUGAAAGAAAUUGGCAGCCAAAUCCCAUUAUUUCUCCCUACUUCUGAAAAGAUUAAUUAUAAGAAAAAGAGAAGUGUCCAUUUUUGACAGUGCAACAGAAGUUAGGUAUUGUGUGGCGUUAUUGCCCCUCUUGCUGUGAUACAUGUAUGAUGUUAGUCUGAGAUGCUUUUAUGAAUUUUGAUUGUUUUUCUUUAAUCUUUUGUUGCGGAGAGAAGAAGAAUAAUGAUCUGGCAUGAACAGGAAUCUCCAUGCCUCUAAGCAAUGACAUUAAGUUACAAUCUUCUAAACCAGCUACAUUUUGUAAUUUUAUGGAAAAAUAAAUAUCCAUCCUUUUCCACGUAUUGCAGCUGUCUUUCCCUGGUUUUUAAAACCAGUCUAAAAUAAGUUAGAAGAAUAGGCCUCUAUUUCUACUCUGUCAUUCAACAGUUAAGGGUAUAAGAAAUUAUAGUCAAUGCUCUUGUUGAAUAGUAGAUAUAUAAUUUAACAAAUGAACUUUCAUUUUAACCCAUUUUAUGUUAAAUACUACCAUAAAACCGUAGAUAUUUAGCAGUAUUACAUUUUUUUAGUGACACUAAGGUUAGUCACUGGAGCUAUUAUAUUCUCAGAUAAAUGAUAAUCACUCUAGUAUUAUUACUGGAAAGACAAACACACAUAAUAAAAUUAGUCAAUUAAAUCUGCAAGUUAAUUUUAUGCAGGAGGAAACAAUGCAUUUUCUGAAGUGCUUCUUUCUUCCAAGGAACUAAGGCCCCAGGUCAGUGGUACCUCAGCAUGGACUUAAAAGUUAAACACAUGCUUAAGUGCUCUCCUGAAUUGAUUCUCUAGUCUCCAGUAAUGUUGUCAAUAGUGAAGCAGGCAAUGCUAGAUCACUUCAUUCACUUAUUUGCAAGAAAUGAAAAAGCACCGCUCAGAAGUGGCUUUCAAAAAGUCAGAUAUAAAACCAUUUCUUGGGUUUCUAAGUGUGCCACAAAACCUUGUCAGCUGCCUUUUUUGUUGCUUUUGAGGAAAAGUAACUUACCAUUAAGAAGAAUUUAUGGUACUAGCUGACUUCUGAAAAAUCAACUCAGCCAGAUAUUGCUCUGGACAAAUAGAAAUCAAUAAGAAUUAAAAAUGUUAAUAGAAUAUUUCUCACAGGCAGGCCAAUGGAGCUGAUUGUAGCACUUUGUUUAGCACGCAUCAAAAAAUUGGAAGCCAGGAUGAUAAUGAGCUGAGCCCUAUUCAUUUCUUCCAUUUUCUCAUUGAACCAACCAUCAUUUGUCCAAAUUCAGUUUGGUCAUCAGUAUAAAUACUCAGCCAAGAAACACAGAAAACAUUUCAAUAGACAUCCGAAACUGAGUCUAGGCCAGCGUUUCCUAGGGAAAGGUGAUUAAACUUGUAGAGCAUCUCACGUCUCCUGUUGUAAUUUUAUAUAAAAUUUCAGAUGUAUUGUAUGGAGGUACAAAUCUGAGCGCUUCCAACUGCUGAAAACACAGCCAUCUUCACUGUUGCAACUAACCCUGCUUGAAGACAAUUACAAUUACAGCUUGCAAGAUGAAGUAUUCUCAUCUCUCAUGACAUAUUACUAUUGAACAAGACCAACACUUCAGAUCUCCAGCAGUGUUUAUUAUCAAAGCAAUGACCUAAGAUUUCAAACUACCAUAGUAUCUGAGCACCUGACACCCAUAAUGGAUUUUAUCCUCCAAACACUCAUGUGAGGUAGGGAGGGUAUUAUCCCCAUUUCACAGAUGGGAAACUGAAGCACAGGGGAGGAUGAAGGGGCUUGUCCCAGGUCACACAGGAAGUUUUGUGACAACCCAAGUCUCUCAAGUCCCAGUCCAGAACUCACUAGAUCAUCCUUCCUGAUCCACUGAGAAACACCAUAGUUAACACACGUUAAUAGAGGAGUUGUACUUCCAUUGUUAUUUGGUUAUUUAUGUUUAAUAAAAUACAUUUCAAA